RNAcentral lists this long non-coding RNA (701 nucleotides) under Citrus maxima (pomelo). RNAcentral's name for it is "long non-coding RNA (CMAX_LNC002831)". The record is from RNAcentral. Lineage: Eukaryota; Viridiplantae; Streptophyta; Magnoliopsida; Sapindales; Rutaceae.
UCACAAGCCACCCCAUGUCAAACCACCGCACAAGCCCCCGUAUGUUCCUAAACCACCUUAUUCCCCAAGCCCUAAACCGCCUUACGUGCCAAAACCACCUCAUACUCCAGUCCCUAGGCCACCAUAUUUCCCCAAACCACCUUACACACCAAGGCCUAAGCCACCAUAUGCGCCAAAACCACCUUAUACGCCAACCCCUAAGCCACCAUAUUUCCCCAAACCACCUUACACACCAAGGCCGAAGCCACCAUAUGUGCCAAAACCACCUUAUACGCCAGCCCCUAAGCCACCAUAUUUUCCCAAACCACCUUACACACCAAGGCCUAAGCCACCAUAUGCACCAAAACCACCUUAUACGCCAACACCUAAGCCACCAUAUUUCCCCAAACCACCUUACACACCAAGGCCUAAGCCACCGUACGUGCCAAAACCACCGUACACACCAAGGCCUAAGCCACCGUACGUGCCAAAACCACCAUACACACCAACCCCUAAGCCACCGUACGUGCCAAAACCACCUUACACCCCAACCCCUAAGCCACCGUACGUGCCAAAACCACCGUAUACCCCAACUCCUAAGCCACCGUACGUCCCAUCGCCACCUUAUACCCCUCGCCCUAAACCACCGUAUGUACCAUCACCACCUUAUACCCCUAGCCCUAAACCACCGUAUGUGCCAUCACCACCAUAUACCCCAAGCC